This 692-nucleotide ribosomal RNA is filed under the name uncultured bacterium. Its description in RNAcentral is "bacterial SSU rRNA". It matches the Rfam family "Bacterial small subunit ribosomal RNA", at positions 8 to 692 of the family's 1533-position model. The record is from RNAcentral.
AGAGUUUGAUCCUGGCUCAGAUUGAACGCUGGCGGCGUGCCUAACACAUGCAAGUCGAGCGGUAACAGGUGUAGCAAUACAUGCUGACGAGCGGCGGACGGGUGAGCAAUAUUUGGGAAUCUGCCUAUUAGUGGGGGACAACCCGGGGAAACUCGGGCUAAUACCGCAUACGCACUACGGUGGAAAGCCGGGGACCGCAAGGCCUGGCGCUAAUAGAUGAGCCCAAAUCGGAUUAGCUAGUUGGUGAGGUAACGGCUCACCAAGGCGACGAUCCGUAGCUGGUCUGAGAGGACGACCAGCCACACCGGAACUGAGACACGGUCCGGACUCCUACGGGAGGCAGCAGUGGGGAAUAUUGGACAAUGGGCGAAAGCCUGAUCCAGCGACGCCGCGUGGGUGAAGAAGGCCUGCGGGUUGUAAAGCCCUUUCGGUGGGGAUAAAAAGCCUUGGUUUAACACACCAGGGGUCUUGAUCUAACCCAAGAAAGAAGCACCGGCUANCUCUGUGCCAGCAGCCGCGGUAAUACAGAGGGUGCGAGCGUUAAUCGGAAUUACUGGGCGUAAAGCGCACGUAGGUGGCUUGGCAAGUCGAGUGUGAAAUCCCCGGGCUUAACCUGGGAACUGCAUUCGANACUGCUUUGCUANAGUAUGGGAGAGGGAAGUGGGANUUCCGGUGUAGCGGUGAAAUGCGUA